AGUAAAAGUCGUAACAAGGUUUCCGUAGGUGAACCUGCGGAAGGAUCAUUAUUGAAAUAAACCUGAUAAGUUGCUGCUGGUUCUCUAGGGAGCAUGUGCACACUUGUCAUCUUUGUAUCUUCACCUGUGCACCUUUUGUAGACCUGAGUAUCUCUCUGAAUGCUUUAGCACUCAGGAUUGAGGAUUGAUUCCAAGUCUUUUCUCACAUUUUCAGGUCUAUGUUUCUUCAUAUACCCCAAUGUAUGUUCAUAGAAUGUAAUUAAUGGGCCUUUGUGCCUAUAAACCCAUACAACUUUCAGCAACGGAUCUCUUGGCUCUCGCAUCGAUGAAGAACGCAGCGAAAUGCGAUAAGUAAUGUGAAUUGCAGAAUUCAGUGAAUCAUCGAAUCUUUGAACGCACCUUGCGCUCCUUGGUAUUCUGAGGAGCAUGCCUGUUUGAGUGUCAUUAAUAUAUCAACCUUCUUUGGUUGGAUGUGGGGUGUGCUGGCCUCUUCAGGUCARCUCUCCUUAAAUGCAUUAGCGGACUACAUUUUGCCAACCGUUCAUUGGUGUGAUAAUUAUCUAYGCUAUUGACGUGAAGCAACGUUCAGCUUCUAACAGUCCAUUGACUUGGACAAAUUUUUAUUAAUGUGACCUCAAAUCAGGUAGGACUACCCGCUGAACUUAAGCAUAUCAAUAAGCGGAGGAAAAGAAACUAACAAGGAUUCCCCUAGUAACUGCGAGUGAAGCGGGAAAAGCUCAAAUUUAAAA
Molecule: ribosomal RNA, 749 nt
Filed under: Calonarius luteicolor
Lineage: Eukaryota; Fungi; Basidiomycota; Agaricomycetes; Agaricales; Cortinariaceae
Description: eukaryotic LSU rRNA
Rfam family: 5.8S ribosomal RNA (bases 291-444)
Source: RNAcentral